Molecule: ribosomal RNA, 253 nt
Filed under: uncultured bacterium
Lineage: Bacteria
Description: partial 16S ribosomal RNA
Rfam family: Bacterial small subunit ribosomal RNA
Source: RNAcentral
UACGUAGGAGGCGAGCGUUGUCCGGAAUCACUGGGCGUAAAGCGCGUGUAGGCGGGAAGGCAAGUCUGCUGUGAAAACCCGGGGCUCAACCCCGGGCCUGCAGCCGAUACGGGCAGACUAGAGUUCGGCAGGGGAGACUGGAAUUCCUGGUGUAGCGGUGAAAUGCGCAGAUAUCAGGAGGAACACCGGUGGCGAAGGCGGGUCUCUGGGCCGAUACUGACGCUGAGGAGCGAAGGCGUGGGGAGCGAACAGG